Molecule: non-coding RNA, 3787 nt
Organism: Arachis ipaensis
Lineage: Eukaryota; Viridiplantae; Streptophyta; Magnoliopsida; Fabales; Fabaceae
Source: RefSeq, a predicted model, not a curated record
AAUGAUGAAAGGUCUAAAUUCGAACAACAGGCAAAAAGAAAUUGGAAUGGUUCCACCAGUGUCUAACUAAGAAUAAUGGCUAUUACAAUUUGGGAAAAAGUCAAUUGGGAAAAUUAGGUCGUCCUCUUUCUCUCAGUUAUCAUUGUCUGUGCUAGCUUCACACUGAGAGAUGGUGAUCGUCGAACUCCUCCAAAAACCAAUUCAUUUCUUGCUUUCCAAAGUUGCCAGAGUAAAUUGGCCACCAAUUCAUUUCUUCUGGAACUUGAAUUUGGACUUUCUGCCAGGCUUCCAGGGAAUCGGGACAAGUUAGUAGACAGUGGGUAACUGAUUCCUCUUCUUCCUCACACCUUGGGCAUUUUGAAUUUAUGUUCGGAAUCCUGGAGUGAAGCUUGCUCCGAACAGAAAGUCAAUUGGAGGAUGAAAAAAUUGGAAGGCUAACCGGUAUCCAGAAUCCGCUGAAUAUCCACCAUUUUCUCCUUCAUCCAGUAAUGAAGCAAUCGAGCAUGGAGCAGAAGAAGCUCAAGAGCACCAACAAUCUCCUUCCUCCAGAGCUGAAACGACAAUCUUACUGAGGGUUCCCAUCAAACACCUUGUGUGUGUCAGGUGCGUUUCCAAGCUAUGGAACACUCACAUUUAUAAGUUGUUUGAUUAAGAAGUUUUAUAUAUAUGUAUAUGCUUGUUUGUUUUCAUGAAAAAAUAUUUUUGUAUUUUCAAAGAAAACAGCAAUACGAUUUUGAGUUAAAGGCUCCUAUUUUAUUAUUAUGUAUAUGAAAAUCGUCAUAAUAGUUUUGUUAUUAGAGUAACAUAACCGGAAGCAUAGCAUUCUGAUAGUAAAGGUGAUACAAUAAUGAUAGAAUAUUUGGAUGAAAUUGUCAAUUUUUAUAUAUUCUCUACAAUAUUAAUUUUUAAAUGUAAUAAAUUUCUUUAUGAUGUAGGUUUUUAAUUCAGUUUUCUAAUUGGCUUUUUGAUGUGUUAUGAAUUAUGAUUAUGAGUGUGCAAUGAGGGUUUAAAUAUACACUUAGUAUUGUGUAUUUAGGGCUCAAACAUGUACACAUAAUUACAAAAAUUUAACUGUCUUGAGUAUAGGCUUUUACAACUUUUAGAAUUGUUACAAAUUUCGUAUUGUAAACUAUAUUGUGGACACUAAUACCAGUCUUGUGUCACUUAUUAUUUCUCCUGUUUUUUCUAGGCCUCUAUCAAAGUAUCAUAAUAGAAAAGACUACUUAAUUUGCUUGCUUCUAUAUUUUUUUAUUUGGUUGUUUAAUGACUAAAGAUGAGAUAAUGAAUGUACAAGUAAAAUUGGCUAUGUAAAACUUAAAGAUGUUUUAUUUUAUCAAUUACAUACACAAAAUAUACACUUUUCUUUUUAAUCUUGCUCUUAACGCGAUUGGUUUUAAAUAGUUCUCUAGCAAAUUAUGGCAGAUUCAAACAAAAAUAAAUUAAUGCUUAAUCACCUUGUAUGUCAAACUACAAAAGUUUAAAAUGAAGAAUAUAACAUAGUUUUGAGUAAAAGACAAAUAGGUCUCUAACCUUUUAAAAUGCGGACAUUUUUGUCCCUCAAGAUUGGAAAAUACAUUUCAAUCCUCCACGUUUUAAAACGGCCGACAAUUAUACCCCUCCGUCCGUUUUGGGCCAAAAACGGCAACGGAGCCAACUGACAUGGAGGGGUAGAGAAUGACGUGUCCGUUACACUUACUGAAGUGGAUUGGGACGAAUUAUUAGUGGACAAAUCUAUCCCUUAAGUGCAAAACGACGCCGUUUCCACCAGUGAGCCCUAUUUCAUCAAAAUGCAAGGUGGAAGCCAUGGCCGCUGCUGGUGCGAUCGUCCAUGAUGAGUGAGGGGGGCUCUUCAUGCACAAGACCUGGACGGGGAUCUUCAUGCGCUGUUGCAGGAGGAUGUGAUCGAGAUGGGGUUGCCGCGAAGUGCUUCUGCGGCAUUUAUGCCAUUCUUUACAAGUCAAGAACAGCAUCUAAUCCCAAUAGGAUGUUUCUCGGGUGUCCAUUCUUCAAGGUGAGUGAUUAUUUUGAUAGUAGUUGGAUGAGACUGUUCUGUGUCUAAUUACGGCGUUAUCUGAAAAAUUGCUCUAGGUUAAAGAACGGUAUUGCCGGUACUUUGUCUGGCUUGAUGAACACCUGAAAAAAAUUAGGGCCAUGGAGUCUGAAGCAUUGGGUGCUGUGGAUGAUGUUGGAGGGGUAGACGUUGAAGAUCAAGUGGUGCGAAGUCAGGAAUUGGAAACAAAAAUUCAACUGGUGCGAAGUCAGGAACUGGAGAAAAAAAUGGAAGAGUUGGAGAGGAAACUAUUAUGUAUGGAGAAGGAAAAAAAUAAGUAUGUGGCAUAUUGCUUUGAUUAGUGUAGUUGUUUUUCUUGUUGUUGUAUGUUUCUUAAAGUGGUGAGAAUGAAUUGAUGUACAAUGUUGAUGAUGUAAUGAAAAUUGCCAUUGUUGAACAAGUAAAAAAUACUGUGAAUCAGCUAUUAUAUAAGGUAGUACUUCUGCAUAGAUUAUGACCAAAAUAUAAACAACAAUGUAUCUGUCUUAAUCCAAAACAUAACAGCAUAAGUUUGCCACAAAAUAACAAAACAUCUGGUUGGCAUGUAAACAAGUUUGCCAAACUACAAUAAGUAGACAGUGUUGUUUAAUUCAUACUAAAGACUAGGACAAAAAAAUAGAAAUUCAUUCAGUAGUGUUCAGUUCUUCUGAUUGUUGGAUCCAGGAGUUGGGAUGAAAUUCAUUCCUAUGGCCUCACUACCAGCAACUUUCAAGGUCUCUUCUAAUGUAGCGACACUGGCACUGAUGCUUUGAGUCUGGGUUGUAUCUGGGGGUGGAGUUGGUAGUGGAUUUGAAGGUGGAUUUGCACUUGUUCGGGGCCUUCUGAUUGUCUGCUUGGGUCUGAAUUUAGAGGCAGCAGCAGGGGUUUUGGGUUGACCCAUUCUUGGCAGCUGGGAUGGAGGCCUGAAUAGAGGUUGGACUGGAGCAGAUGGUGUUGUUGCUGCAGCAUUCUGGCUGAUGACAUCAUUCUGCAAAAGUAACCGAAUUAUUCAGUUGUUCAAAUGCAUGGACAAGAAUAAAGUGAUUGGCAUUAUGAGUGUAUUAUUUAGGGGGGCUUACUGGAGACUUUUCUUGCGCAGCAUUAUUCUCAGCAAAACUUUCAGUCUGUGUCUGGUUUUCAUCCUAUGCAACAUAGAUCCAACAAGGAAACAACAUGGACAAAUUAAUCCUUAAAAAAAAUUAUAAUGACAUCGUAACCACUGACAAAAUUUAAAAUGUACAGAUUUAUCCUAAAGCAUAGCAGGGAUAUCUCUGGUUGAGGGGCUGAUUGUGAAAGGGGAAGCAGCACCAAGGGUUGUGUGUUGUCAGCAGUCUUCUUAGCUUUUUUCUUUUUUGGUUUCCAAUUUGGGUUGCUUGGUGCUCCCUUACAGGUCUUAUAGUUAUGGUCUUUCUCAUUGCACUUGUUGCAUGUCACUUGAAAGCUUCUCUUAAGCUUGUCACCCUGAAUAUGAGACUCAGCAGGAUCCUUGUUGCGAUUGUGUACCUUUGGCCUCCUAAUAGGUCGCUUGAUGUGUGGUGGAGCAGGCCUCAGCUGGUCAGUGGUUAUCCAAAAUUUCUCACUUGAAACUGGUUUUAUGCAAUGUGCAUAUGUCUUGUGAAUAGAUUCCAUACAUAACCAGGGAUGCACAUAAUCAUCUACCUGGUCAUGCCUCUUUCUAAUUGCAGCAAUACCGUGAAUGCAUGGCAUGCCUGAAUCAAAACCACAUACCAUAUUACCUAUCAUUAUAUUAGAUCAGCC